CCUACGGGAGGCAGCAGUGGGGAAUAUUGGACAAUGGGGGGAACCCUGAUCCAGCCAUGCCGCGUGUGUGAAGAAGGCCCUCGGGUUGUAAAGCACUUUCAGUGAGGAAGAACGCCUGGUGGUUAAUACCCAUCAGGAAAGACAUCACUCACAGAAGAAGCACCGGCUAACUCCGUGCCAGCAGCCGCGGUAAUACGGAGGGUGCGAGCGUUAAUCGGAAUUACUGGGCGUAAAGCGCGCGUAGGUGGCUUGAUAAGCCGGUUGUGAAAGCCCCGGGCUCAACCUGGGAACGGCAUCCGGAACUGUCGAGCUAGAGUGCAGGAGAGGAAGGUAGAAUUCCCGGUGUAGCGGUGAAAUGCGUAGAGAUCGGGAGGAAUACCAGUGGCGAAGGCGGCCUUCUGGACUGACACUGACACUGAGGUGCGAAAGCGUGGGUAGCAAACAGGAUUAGAUACCCUUGUAGUC
RNAcentral lists this ribosomal RNA (465 nucleotides) under Vreelandella stevensii. Its description in RNAcentral is "partial 16S ribosomal RNA". It matches the Rfam family "Bacterial small subunit ribosomal RNA", at positions 338 to 795 of the family's 1533-position model. Lineage: Bacteria; Pseudomonadati; Pseudomonadota; Gammaproteobacteria; Oceanospirillales; Halomonadaceae. The record is from RNAcentral.